UAACUGCGAAAACCAGCUGCUGAAUGAACAAUAUGGUAAUCGCUAUCAGUAGGCGUGCCAUGGAGGGAUCCUUGUUAUCGGCAUUUCUCCUUUUCCUGAUGCGCCAUCGCCUGUCGAUCACCGUGGCAUAUAUAGCACGCAGGAAACCGAAGUACGACCUCCUGAUAUACUUUAACUUCUCGUUCAGAGAUACAUCGAAGACCCUGCAGGUCAGAGUUCCCAGUUAGACCAUGUGUGUCCUAAGGCAAGGGUUCAACUUCAUUGCACUCACACCGGAGGAGAACGGGCUCCUCAUUGCUCCCUUCCCAGAGAAGAAAGUACGCGAGGCCAUGUCUUAGAUGGAACACAACAAAUCUUUGGGGCCAAAAGGAUUCCUACCGAGUUUUAUCAAAAGUUUUGGGAGGUCAUUAAAGGGGACUCGUUGCAACCCUUCACUCAUCUACACCAAGGGUAAACACCCUUGUUCGGCUGAAUUUGGGCCGAUUAUGCUACUGCCCAAGAAAGGCGUGACGUGCAAUUUCAGCAGUAUCAUCCUAUUUGCCUCCUAAGUAUGAGCAUUAAAUUUAUCAGUAAGGUCAUCACAAAUCGUAUUGCAGAAACCGUCCACAACUUUAUCUGUCCAACUGAAUGAGCUUUCGUGCCGAUCUGACACAUCCUUGAGGCUUUGUUCGGUUAAUCCCAUCGGUGGAUUGGAGAGGAUUUGCAGGGAUUUUGGCUUGUAGGGGAUUAAUUCUCUCUCAAUCCCCUUCAAAUCCAUCUCAACCGAACAAGCCGUGAGGGGGUUAAUAGUUUUAUUAUAGGAAACCAUACAUGAGCUUCACAUUAAGAAGCUAGAUGGAGCGAUUUUUAUGGUUAACUUUGAUAAGGUGCAGUGUACUUCCCAACAACAGACUUUGUGUAUGAAGGGGUUCACACUACAGUGGUGCCACUAGAUUGCACGAUUUGUCCAAGGUGCGAGUGUGAGCAUCGCUGUGAAUAAUGGUGUUACUAUCGCACAAUUUUAGAGUUGCAGUAUGUGCACUUUGGCAUUUUAAGGUGUGCGUCCUCGUUGUGUUUGUAUUGGAGACAUUGUAUCUGUAUGUUCUCUUUUACAAACUCGGUUUUUAGUGAACUUCCUGGUUAGUGAUCUAGUAUAGGUUGGAUUUUUGUAGGUUUGCAGAGUGAACAUCUGAUUUUUAUUCUAUAUAGUGAACUAUUGUAGAUUGUAUGUAAA
Long non-coding RNA from Aegilops tauschii subsp. strangulata, 1213 nucleotides. RefSeq lists it as uncharacterized. NCBI's taxonomy places the organism in Eukaryota, Viridiplantae, Streptophyta, Magnoliopsida, Poales, Poaceae. The record is from RefSeq and is a predicted model, not a curated record.